GUGGCUAUGGUGUAGUGGUAACACAGCAGAUUGUGGUUCUGUUAUCGAGGGUUCAAUUCCCUCUAGUCACC
Molecule: transfer RNA, 71 nt
Filed under: bacterium
Lineage: Bacteria
Description: tRNA-His
Rfam family: tRNA
About the family: Transfer RNA (tRNA) molecules are approximately 80 nucleotides in length. Their secondary structure includes four short double-helical elements and three loops (D, anti-codon, and T loops).
Source: RNAcentral